This 300-nucleotide ribosomal RNA is filed under the name Triticum aestivum (bread wheat). RNAcentral's name for it is "partial small subunit ribosomal RNA". Lineage: Eukaryota; Viridiplantae; Streptophyta; Magnoliopsida; Poales; Poaceae. The record is from RNAcentral.
AUGCUUUACAACUUAGAACCGGGGCUCCAAAAGCGUUUUGAGCAACACGAAGCAUAUGAGAUGUUCGAAGAGCUGAAAAUGGUUUUCCAAGCUCGUGUCCGGGUCGAGAGAUAUGAAGUCUCUGACAAGUUCUACAGUUGUAAGAUGGAGGAAAACAGUUCUGAUAGCGAGCAUAUACUCACAAUUUCUAGGUUGCACAACCAUUUAUCUCAGCUGGGAGUUAAUCUUCCAGAUGACUCGGUCAUUGACAGGAUCCUUCAGUCGCUUCCACCUAGCUACAAGAGCUUUGUGAUGAACUAA